GGCGGGUCUCGGGUGACACACCCCAGAAUAGGGUUCCCUCCUCUCUGGUUCCGGGUGCGUCAACCCAAGAACCAUA
Non-coding RNA from Myotis brandtii (Brandt's bat), 76 nucleotides. Lineage: Eukaryota; Metazoa; Chordata; Mammalia; Chiroptera; Vespertilionidae. The record is from Rfam.